UUAAUAUCAAUGAAAAGAUCGACUUGAUGUCGGCUUAUAAAGUGGUUUGGAAGUAUUUGCUUUGAUAAAACAGUUUAAUUAUAAAGAAACCUUUGUUUGAAACAAAAUUGUAAAAGAGUUUGAAAUGAAACCUACAGUGUAUAAUAAACAGUUUAAUCAAGAGUUUUAAACAUAUAAAAACGUUUAAGAUAAACAUUUGAAGAAAUCUGUUUGGUAAAACAGUUACCGUAUAGUAAAUCUAUUUGCAUGCUGCUUAGUAACCACAUGUGCUUGAUAUAAUAACUAGCAUGAAUCAACUUGUUUCCCCCCAUAAAAGCAUUUAAAAACAUUCAAAAUAUUGAUUAAGGGGUAUGAACUCACCUGUAGCAAGUGGUAGGGAUUGAACGGACUGUAUAGGAUGCUAGGUGUCAAGUGAAGACUUGUACACACUCUAUGAUCCUAGUUAACAUAUAAUAUCACAUAUAUGUAACCAAUUAGCCUUUAAACAAUUUAAUAACAAAGUUAAGACAUCCUAAGACAUGUUAAACACUUUAUAUAAGUGUUAUAAGUGCUAACGAUUGCAUCUAAGUGUUGUAGGACAAAGCUAUUGAGCUUAGGGUUCAAGGGAACCCCUAAUACAAGUUUACUCCCUAAAGACCACAACCCAUUGAGUUUACGGUCGUAAACCCUUGAUUUUACGGUCGUAAGCUCAUCUCCUUUUGACCAUUUGUUGACUUGAAGCCUUCUAAGUCAUUUCAUGCAUUCCUACUUCAUGUUUAAGCCUUUGGAAGUAUUUGUGGCAUCAAUACACUCCUAAAUGGAGUUUACGGCCCAUGGACCAUUUCUCCAUGUGUUUGCUGCCAUAAAAUCCUAUGGAACAUGGUAUUUACAUGUUUUCACGUCUUAAACACUUCAAGGUAAAAGUCUAGGCUAGAUUUUAGGCAUAAGGAAGGAAUAUGGGCCAUUUAUACACACUUUGGGGUGUUUACGGUUUUAGGAGAUCCCCAAACCGUAAACCCAUAUUCAAGGGGGUCUUAUGGUGUUUUUCAUGUGCUAAAACCAUCAGGGAAGGGUUCCAUACUAGUUUCUAAGCAUAAGGGAAGAGUUGGGAGCACUUUGGCACCAAAAAUAGAGUUUACGGUCCAAGAAGACCUUGGACCGUAAGCUCCUUUUUCUUGUGAUUCUUGAGUGAUUUCUAUGAUAUCUAAACAUGUAGUAAGCUUUAAAACACUCUAGGGUUGAAGUACUUACAAUUUGGGGCAAAAGAUUGAAGAUCCUUGGGAGAGAAUUCAGGCUUUUCUCUAGUUGAAAUGGAAGAAAUGAACAAAAAAUGGCUAUGUGCCCUUUAUAUAGUCCAUGGAGUUUUUGGUCCAAAAAUAUCAUUUGAGUCGUAAACUUCAAACUCUUGGAGUUUUGAAACUUAUAAGACGCACAAAAUACUCUAGGGCAUCCUCUCUCCUGAUAUCUCCUAAAGUGUAAAUCCUGAAAUACUCAAACUUAUUCUAAAAAGUCUGAAAAUUAACAGCAACUGCUCUGACUUCUAUUGACUUGACAUGUUUGUACAGAAUAGAAAUUUCGGGUUGUGACAUCAUCCCCCCGUUAGAAGGAAUUUCGUCCCGAAAUUAGAGUUUAGGUAAGGAAUUAGGCAUGAAUAAUCAAGCCAAGAAGUGGGGAUACUUCCUAAAUGAUUGAUUCUCGGACUCCCAAGUGAAUUUGGGUCCUUGGUUGGCAUCCCAGCGGACCUUCACUAAAAGGAAACGACUAUGAAUCGUUCACAUGACCUCUCGGUCCAUGGUCACUACGGUUCUUCCACGUAGGUGAGGCUCUUGUGGAACUCGAUCUCUUCGAGUGGGAUUUCAAGAGUCUCGUCGGAUCAAUACUUUUUACAAGUUCGAGACAUGAAGGGUAGAAUGUAUGUUACUAAGCUCGCGGAGUAGGUCUAGUCUGUGAGAUACAGGACCGAUUCCGGUAAGAAUCUCGGAGGUCCUAACUAUCUUGGAUUUAGCUUUCCAUGCAUUACGAAGCGUAUUAAGCCAUUCCCAGAGUGAGACUUCCUAAAGGAUUUGGUCUCUUACUUGGAAUUCCAAGGUUUCUUUUUCUUGCUUAUCUUCCCAGUCAAGGGCCACCCCCUGCUGGGUCAAAGUCGUAAGGGUUUCUUUAAUUCGCGAGGAGUUCUGAAUGGAUUCCUGAUAGUAAGUCGGCAAGACUUAAAAUUUGGCGAAUUUCGUAAGCAUCUUCAGUGCCAACAAUUUCUCAACGGUUAUGAUAAAUUGACAGAUUACUCAAGAAUUUCCACAUCACAAAUGGUGUGUCUUAGGAAUUUGACUCUUCAAUUCCAAAACUCGUGUUUAGAGAACUUCACAAAGAGUUUCUCUGAGGGUAAAGUUUCCAUGGCUUGUUGUAGAUGCUCUUUACGAUUUCCUUCUUACUACGAGAGUAGAUAAGUAAGUCAUUUACAAAGAAAACGACAAACUGAUCCAAGUAAGAAUGGCGUACUCUAUUCAUUAAGCUCAUGAAUACUACAGACGUAUUGGUCCUAUCCAAGGGGUAUCACUACGGACUCAUAAUGUCCGUAUCGAGUUUGGAAGAUUGUCCUUGGGACCUCCUCCGCUGAAACUCGUUUCUGGUGAUAUUCGGAUCUCAGGUCUAUUUCUGAAAGGUAAAUAGUUCCUUGCAGUUGGUCAACCAACUCAUCUAUGCGAGGCAGAGGGUGAUGAUUUCUAAUGGGAAUCUUGUUGAGGUCUCUGAAGAUGAGGGACUUACCAAGCAAUCCGUAUAUCUUCUUGACGAAUAAGACCGAAGCUCUCUAGGAUGAGAAGCUUGAUCUUUCCAUUCUAGUGCUGAGUAGUCUUUAAACUGUCCGGACGGUUCUUAUAUCUCCAUGGGCGUUAGACCGUAGGGCGAUCUGUUUACAGAAGUCUUACUGGGUUCUAAGUUUGUUCGCAUGACGAUGUGAUUACACGUAGUCUUGGGCAGUCUACGUCCUAAAGUUCAUAUUAGAAGUCAUACAUGGUUCAUCAAUCGCAGUCUCGUGUAUACAAGUCGUAUAUAAUUAAGAUUGAAAAGGUAGUCGAAUAAAUGAUUCUUCAUUAAGCUCACAUCCCAACGAGGAAAAGAAGUUAAAGUGGAAUCACCAAUUCUAAACCUGUAGAACCUUGAUUAUAUAUCACCCCUAUGUAUACAUUCUUCAGCGAUAGAUCAACCGUAUGGAUCUUUGGAUUGAACUUGACAUAUUGUACGAGUGGUAUUUCGGGGAGGUUUGCUGAGUUUUCUUCAGAAAGGAUAAGAAACAUGAGGUACUCCAUGCAUGAGUACUUCCGAGUUCUAAAAUGACGGCUUCGCUAAAAAGAUGUUUACGGAGAAAGAGAUGUACGUAUGAAGCUGGUAUCGUGCGGAUCAAAUUGAAUCUAGUCGUAUGGUAAUAUCGGACUCACUUUGGAAAAAAGACAUUAGACUUGAUCAUAAAGGCGUUACAGACAAAACCAACAGUGCAAUCUUUAACAGAGUUACAGUACUUUAGACAUACUACAAGACUAUGGCUGCUAACAAGGUAUACUACAAAAGACAAGUAUACGCAACACGAGCAUCCCUUUACCGAUGGGAUCUGGCAAAAGAUAAGACUCUAGUUGCACUAGUUUUAAACAGUUUAUAAGUCUGUUACAAUGAACGCCUUAGAUAGUUUAACGAGGGUCCGACGUAGUUUCUCCUGCAGCUGUGAUCCUGAGAAUCUUCCCGUCUGUGCCCGAGUUCUUUGUUAUUGGAUAGUCCUUGAGAUGUCCCAUCUCUCCACAUAAAUGACAUAUUUGGCUAGUGCCAGCAUCGGUAGUGGAAGUGAAGUGUCGAGUAGGAGUUAUGGGGACGCGGGUGCUUUUUUUGAUCUCCCUUUUCGGGCAAUUUCUUUUAUAGUGCCCAGUGUCACCAUAAUAAUAGCAACCUUGGCUGGCUCUAGUGGCGGUGGUUCCACAUAAACGGGCAAUGUGUCCCAGUCUGUUGCAAUUGAUACAUUGCAAUACCCAGCAGGCUCCAUUAUGAUGAUAGCUACACUUGCUACACUUCGGGAGCGUUCCCUCAUAUUGCUUGCGUCCCUUUUGAGCUUGACGCUUCCGUUUCUUGAACUCUGAGUUGUGGCUUCGCGAGCCUGUGACUAUUAUCGUUUGUUGGCUUCUUGGAUUGAAACUACGAUCGGGAUUUUCAACCCCAUCGUCAGUAUUGCUUGCGUUGAUAGCGUUAUGGUUUGCAAGGACAACUGUCACGGCAGCUGUAACAGCGACUUGGAAAGUGGCGGUGUCUAUAGGAAAGGUAAGGGUUUCCUUGUUUGGCUGACUGUUUCCGGAUGACGACAUGAUUCUGUAACAUGAAAAAUAAGGAUUUUGUGAGCAACUUUGGUUGACCCCAAAUGUCCUUCGAUCGCUCAAGUAAAGAGUAAGAGUAUGUUCUCAAAAUUUUGACCUACAUCCCUAUGAUGCAGUCCUAUCACGGAUUGGAAGUAUGUUUGCUAAGGUUCGACCUACAUCCCUAUGAUGCAGUCCUAGAAUAGAAUAGAAGUAAAUUCGUAGUAUGGUCUUAUGACGCUUGACGUCUAAAACCGGGUACCAUCGUUUGGUAAAUAACAUGAUCCAACCCUUGAAGAAGAAUUGGGAACUAUUCCUGAGCUAGAAUACCCUUGGUAAAUAACAUGGUCCCUUUUGAGCUAGGAACGGCGGAAACGUUCUGGGGCGGAGGACGUCAUGUAUAGUAUCACAACAAUGAAUAGUAGUAAACAGGCAACAACAUCAUCCAUUGCAUUAAUAAUAUAAUUCUAAUACAAGUGUGUUUUUUUAAAUUAUAAUAGACACUAAAGUAUAAAUCAAAAUGAAAGAUGAGUCUUGAACGAGCUCCAUCUUCUCUAAACCUUGCACUGGUAUCUAUCUACUGUUGACCUGAGGAUAGAAGUUAUUUUGAAAGAGAAUAUCAGCUUUAAAGCUGGUGAGAUCAUAAGUAUUUUAGUGUAUGAAUUUGUAUGUAAGUAUUUGUAAGUAUGUGAAGUGUAAGUAUGUAAAAGUUUUGAAACUCCUAGAAAACCCUAUGUUUCCUACUAAAAGUAGCCUUCUGCCAAGGCUUCUAGUAUAUGUGUGUGUCUCUUGUUAAAGUGUGUAUUUUCCCAAAUCCGACUAUCAUUGACCAAAAACAUAGCUUUUACAUUACCGUGCAUCGUGUGAAUGUUCACGAAGUGAAUGUUACGGGAAAAUAUUAUAGUACUGUAGUAUUUCAAUAAGUAACUACCAAGACUUAAUUGUUUUGAAAGUAGUCUUCUACCAAGACCUGACUGUUUUGAAAGUAGUCUUCUACCAAGACCCGACUGUUUUCAAAGUUGUCUUCUAGCAAGACCCGACUGUACAACUAUUAUUAUUAUUUCAAUCUACCUCAUCGAUCAUGUGAAUAUGCCACAUAGUAAAGGUAUUAAUAAUAUAUUAACUAGAGCUUUAUAUCCUAUUGUAAGUGUCGUAAGUACUGUAGUAUUUGUAAUAAGUGACUACUUUUGUACUAUUUUGCCUUAAUUGAGGGAUAAGGCAUAAUGGGAUGGCUAGAUCCCAGGCUAGACGCUCCCCUGUCAAAGAGAUUUUGGGACCCACACACGACCCCUGCAUGUUUGCAAGCCGCAAACAUCCACAUUACUAUGAUCAUGUACACCCAAUAUAACUAUCACAAUGCGUUGUGAUUCAUUAGUAUAGUUAGAUCCUGAAAUCGUUCUAUGCUAUAGCACCUAGUUAUGUGUGUCCUAUUAUCAUACGUAUAAACGCACUCAUGUAAGCGUAUCUAUGUAACCGUACUCAUGUAAGCGUGUCUAUGUAAACGUACUCAUGUAAGCGUAAUCAUGUAAACGUAUCUAUGUAAAUGUACUCAUGUAAGCGUAAUCAUGUAAACGUAUCUAUGUAGUAGUAUAGACUCAUGAAUGAACUGACUCUUGUGUGAUUCCUUGUACUUGGAAUGGUAAGUAAUAUCUCCUAACUAUACCUAUAAUAGUUACUAAUAAUGAACGUGAAUAACCUUAGAUAUGCCUUUGCUACCCAAAGGUACUAAACUGACUGAGGAGAACUUUUAUGUCUACAUAUGUAUACAUGAUAUAUAACUAAUAUUUAGACGACAUUCGGAUGGAUAACCGAUACCCUUAAGCCACAUCCCAACGAGGAAAAGGAAAUAAAGCGAGCUAGCCUUCCUAAGCCCUUUAAAAAUUUCUUAUAUAACUAUACAUACAUAGACAUGCAUUUGACAAUAUAAAAGCAUAAAAGAAGUUUUGUAAAACCUUUGAAAAAGAUUAAUAUCAAUGAAAAGAUCGACUUGAUGUCGGCUUAUAAAGUGGUUUGGAAGUAUUUGCUUUGAUAAAACAGUUUAAUUAUAAAGAAACCUUUGUUUGAAACAAAAUUGUAAAAGAGUUUGAAAUGAAACCUACAGUGUAUAAUAAACAGUUUAAUCAAGAGUUUUAAACAUAUAAAAACGUUUAAGAUAAACAUUUGAAGAAAUCUGUUUGGUAAAACAGUUACCGUAUAGUAAAUCUAUUUGCAUGCUGCUUAUUAAUCACAUGUGAUUGAUAUAAUAACUAGCAUGAAUCAACUUGUUUCCCCCCAUAAAAGCAUUUAAAAACAUUCAAAAUAUUGAUUAAGGGGUAUGAACUCACCUGUAGCAAGUGGUAGGGAUUGAACGGACUGUAUAGGAUGCUAGGUGUCAAGUGAAGACUUGUACACACUCUAUGAUCCUAGUUAACAUAUAAUAUCACAUAUAUGUAACCAAUUAGCCUUUAAACAAUUUAAUAACAAAGUUAAGACAUCCUAAGACAUGUU
RNAcentral lists this long non-coding RNA (6797 nucleotides) under Lactuca sativa (garden lettuce). Its description in RNAcentral is "long non-coding RNA (LSAT_LNC002064)". The record is from RNAcentral. Lineage: Eukaryota; Viridiplantae; Streptophyta; Magnoliopsida; Asterales; Asteraceae.